RNAcentral lists this ribosomal RNA (232 nucleotides) under uncultured bacterium. Its description in RNAcentral is "partial 16S ribosomal RNA". It matches the Rfam family "Bacterial small subunit ribosomal RNA", at positions 99 to 334 of the family's 1533-position model. The record is from RNAcentral.
CGGACGGGUGAGUAAUGUCUGGGAAACUGCCCGAUGAGGGGGAGUAACUACUGGAAACGGUAGCUAAUACCGCAUAACGUCGCAAGACCAAAGAGGGGGACCUUCGGGCCUCUUGCCAUCGGAUGUGCCCAGAUGGGAUUAGCUAGUAGGUGGGGUAACGGCUCACCUAGGCGACGAUCCCUAGCUGGUCUGAGAGGAUGACCAGCCACACUGGGACUGAGACACGGCCCAG